ACGCUCGACACCUACGGGAGUCAGCAGUGGGGAAUAUUGCACAAUGGGGGAAACCCUGAUGCAGCGACGCCGCGUGAGCGAAGAAGUAUUUCGGUAUGUAAAGCUCUAUCAGCAGGGAAGAAACUGACGGUACCUGACUAAGAAGCACCGGCUAAAUACGUGCCAGUAGCCGCGGUAAUCUGAGCGGGCUGGCAAGGC
RNAcentral lists this ribosomal RNA (198 nucleotides) under uncultured bacterium. Its description in RNAcentral is "partial 16S ribosomal RNA". It matches the Rfam family "Bacterial small subunit ribosomal RNA", at positions 328 to 539 of the family's 1533-position model. The record is from RNAcentral.